UAAAGGUUUGGUCCUGGCCUUCCUAUUAGUUCUUGACAAAUUUACACAUGCAAGUCUCCACAUCCCAGUGAAAUAUGCCCUCCAAAUCACUCCAAUGAUUAAAAGGAGCGGGUAUCAAGCACACUAAUACUAGUAGCUCACGACACCUUGCUCAGCCACACCCCCACGGGAUACAGCAGUGAUAAAAAUUAAGCCAUGAACGAAAGUUCGACUAAGUUAUGUCAAUGAGGGUUGGUAAAUUUCGUGCCAGCCACCGCGGUCACACGAUUAACCCAAACUAAUAGGCCCACGGCGUAAAACGUGUCAAAAACCUCCACCACUAAAGUUAAAACCUGGCCAGGCCGUAAAAAGCAAUUGCCAGCAUAAAAUAAACUACGAAAGUGACUUUAUUACCCUAAUUACACGAUAGCUAAGGUCCAAACUGGGAUUAGAUACCCCACUAUGCCUAGCCCUAAACAUAAAUAAUUAACGUAACAAAAUUAUUUGCCAGAGAACUACUAGCAACAGCUUAAAACUCAAAGGACUUGGCGGUGCUUUACAUCCCUCUAGAGGAGCCUGUUCUAUAAUCGAUAAACCCCGAUAAACCUCACCAUCUCUAGCUAAAUCAGUCUAUAUACCGCCAUCUUCAGCAGACCCUUAAAAGGAAGAGCAGUAAGCACAACAAUAAUACAUAAAAAAGUUAGGUCAAGGUGUAACCUAUGAGGUGGGAAGAAAUGGGCUACAUUUUCUAAUAAAUAAGAAUACAUGCCACGGAAAUUUUUAUGAAACUAAAAAUCAAAGGCGGAUUUAGUAGUAAAUUAAGAAUAGAGAGCUUAGUUGAAUUAGGCCAUAAAGCACGCACACACCGCCCGUCACCCUCCUCAAGCAGUAAUAAUUCAACCACAAUAUAUUAACGGAUAAAUUAAUGUAAGAGGAGACAAGUCGUAACAAGGUAAGCAUACUGGAAGGUGUGCUUGGAUUAAUU
RNAcentral lists this non-coding RNA (964 nucleotides) under Procyon lotor (raccoon). RNAcentral's name for it is "12S ribosomal RNA". It matches the Rfam family "Bacterial small subunit ribosomal RNA". The record is from RNAcentral. Lineage: Eukaryota; Metazoa; Chordata; Mammalia; Carnivora; Procyonidae.